GUAUCAUACUUACACCCUGCUGAAUACCCCAAGGAUCUAGGUGUUGAUGGAAAGGGGGUAGCUCCUCGAGGCAUGAAAGUUAUGGACACCUCCUUUUCGGAGGAAUCUCGAUAAAUACUGCCUGUAUCAUCAAGACCAUGGCCACAACAUGGAGGAACGCAUCCAACUUCAGGAUGAGAUCGAAGAACUCAUCAGACAUGGCCGGUUAGAUCGAUUUGUUUGAUG
Molecule: long non-coding RNA, 225 nt
Filed under: Elaeis guineensis (African oil palm)
Lineage: Eukaryota; Viridiplantae; Streptophyta; Magnoliopsida; Arecales; Arecaceae
Description: long non-coding RNA (EGUI_LNC069841)
Source: RNAcentral